Molecule: ribosomal RNA, 255 nt
Filed under: uncultured bacterium
Lineage: Bacteria
Description: partial 16S ribosomal RNA
Rfam family: Bacterial small subunit ribosomal RNA
Source: RNAcentral
UACGGGGGGGGCAAGCGUUGUUCGGAAUUACUGGGCGUAAAGGGCGCGUAGGCGGUCAGACCAAGUCGAGUGUGAAAUUCCAGGGCUUAACUCUGGCACGCUCGCUCGAUACUGGUCGGCUAGAGUGUGGAAGAGGAUGCUGGAAUUCCCGGUGUAGCGGUGAAAUGCGUAGAUAUGACAUAGAACACCAAUUGCGAAGGCAGCUGGCUACACAUAUAUUGACACUGAGGCACGAAAGCGUGGGGAUCAAACAGG